UACGUAGGGUGCAAGCGUUGUCCGGAAUUAUUGGGCGUAAAGAGCUCGUAGGCGGCUUGUUGCGUCAGCUGUGAAAACCCGCAGCGUCAACUGUGGGCUUGCAGCUGAUACGGGGCAGGGCUUGAGUUCGGUAGGGGAGACUGGAAUUCCUGGUGUAGCGGUGAAAUGCGCAGAUAUCAGGGAGGGAACACCCGGUGGGCGAAGGCGGGUCUCUGGGCCUGUACUGACGCUGGAGGAGCGGAAAGCGUUGGGGGAGGCGAACGG
Molecule: ribosomal RNA, 264 nt
Filed under: uncultured bacterium
Lineage: Bacteria
Description: partial 16S ribosomal RNA
Rfam family: Bacterial small subunit ribosomal RNA
Source: RNAcentral